UUUUCUUUUUUCUUUCUUUCUUUUUCUUUCUUUCUUUCUUUCUUUCUUUCUUUCUUUCUUCUUUCUUUCUUUCUUUUUUUUUUUUUUUUUUUGUCCUGAAAAGUCUGCCUCAAUAGAUUUCAUUUAUACAGCAGUUUGGGACUAAAAUAGUUACUACUACUACUACUAAUAAUAAUAAUUACAUAAAAUAAACAGUUACUAUUCAAAGGGACUUUUUUAAAUUUCUUUUUUUUUUUAGGUACAGUGCAUUCUUGAAACAAAAUUAUUUUAAACCGAGAGAAUGUAAUUAUGGAAAGAAUUUCUUUCCAUUUUACUAAUUAGUCUCAAACAAAAUAUUUUUAAAAAAUCCUCUAAAAUAGAACCAACAGCUAGCUUCCUUUUUCACCGAUGAGAUAUUUAUAAUCUGAAUUUGGCUUGACAGGAGGUAAUAAACCCAUAUUAGAUUCCAAUGACAAUCUUUGUGUGGUGGUUUUGGGAUCCAACUGUAUUUCUAGACAGGGUUUCUCUGCCUGAUUUCCCAGUAGGUAAUACUUUCCUACAGGAGACCCCGUUCCUUCACUGCUAUUUGCAUAUGGUACUCUCUCCUGCCACAUUAAAAAGAUUUAAUGUUUUUGUUUUACGUCACUCCCUUUCUUGUGCAUAGUUUUGUAAUGACUAAUGAAAUGAAGUUUAAUUUUAUCAUCUGGAAAAGCCUGCCAGCUUCUUGCGCCUUUUCCAGAAAGAACAGAAGAAAUGAUGUAAUAAUUUCAGGAUCAUAAAGAAUAAGGUUUAAUGCCACAUUUUUGUCCAUCAAGCUGGGCCAACAGGGAAACAGUCAGUUGCAAUGUAGCGAACCCCACGAUUAAUAAUAACCAAGACUCUGCUUAUUUUUGAUAACACAGCGCUGAGGCAAGGAGUCUGCAUGGCAGGCAGCGAUGAUGGUGUCAAAAGAUCUUCCUAGUGAUGACUUAGCGCAACAACACUGCUUUCUAUAGUUCUACUCAGGUUCCGUCUUCUGACGUGAAAACCCAUUCUUCCUCUACAUGUUCAUCAGGCUCUUCCCUAUUACUGAAGAUUUCUGUUCCCCAGCUCGGUCAAGUCCCCACCACUAAAGUUAACUGAGUGCUGAGGCAAAGCCAAACUUCCAGCAGCAGAUGGGACAACUGCACUGAUCUUUUCUGGAGAUCUUUUGAUCUUUUUUGAUCUUUUUUUGCACCUAUUCUUCAAACCUCCACUGGAUCCUCGGGCACUACUGUUCUUUUUUUAAACAUCAUAUAGUUCCUUGAACACUAUCAUUCUGGAUAUAUUUUCCACUGGAGACUCACUCUCUCCCCUGCAUUUUAAAAUGUAUCCCUUCCUGGGACACCUGGGUGGCUCCGUGGUUGAGCGUCUGCCUUCAGCUCAGGGUGUGAUUCCGGGGUCCUGGGAUUGCGUCCCGCAUUCGGCUCCCCGCAGGAAGCCUGCUUCCCCCUCUGCCUAUGUCUUUGCCUUUCUCUCUGUGUCUCUCAUGAGUAAAGAAAUAAAAAAAUCUUAAAAAAAAAA
Molecule: long non-coding RNA, 1521 nt
Filed under: Canis lupus familiaris (dog)
Lineage: Eukaryota; Metazoa; Chordata; Mammalia; Carnivora; Canidae
Description: lncRNA (ENSCAFG00000055272.1)
Source: RNAcentral